This 479-nucleotide ribosomal RNA is filed under the name uncultured Ehrlichia sp. RNAcentral describes it as "partial 23S ribosomal RNA". It matches the Rfam family "Bacterial large subunit ribosomal RNA", at positions 88 to 611 of the family's 2925-position model. Lineage: Bacteria; Pseudomonadati; Pseudomonadota; Alphaproteobacteria; Rickettsiales; Anaplasmataceae. The record is from RNAcentral.
UCAGACGAAUUUUGAUCCGCAGAUUUCUGAAUGGGGAAACCCAAUCAAUUUAUUGAUUAUUGUAUACUGAAUCCAUAGGUAUAUAAGGCGAACCUAGUGAACUGAAAUAUCUCAGUAGCUAGAGGAAAGGAAAUCAAAAUGAGACUCCGUUAGUAGUGACGAGCGAAUGCGGACCAGGCCAGUGAUUUAUAAUAAAAAAUUAGAAUACUUUGGAAAGAGUGGCCAUAGAUGGUGAUAGCCCAGUAUAAGUAAAAAUAUUAUAAGUCCUUGAGUAGGGCGGGACACGUGAAAUCCUGUUUGAAGAUGGGGGGACCAUCCUCCAAGCCUAAGUACUCUUUAACGACCGAUAGUGAACAAGUACCGUGAGGGAAAGGUGAAAAGAACCCCGGGAGGGGAGUGAAAUAGAUCCUGAAAUCAAAUGCUUACAACCAGUUGGAGCCUUAUAUGUAUUUUAGAAGCGAUUUUGUUGUACAUAUUGA